RNAcentral lists this ribosomal RNA (400 nucleotides) under uncultured bacterium. RNAcentral's name for it is "bacterial SSU rRNA". It matches the Rfam family "Bacterial small subunit ribosomal RNA", at positions 355 to 752 of the family's 1533-position model. The record is from RNAcentral.
UAAGGAAUAUUGGUCAAUGGACGCAAGUCUGAACCAGCCAUGCCGCGUGCAGGAUGAAGGCCCUCUGGGUUGUAAACUGCUUUUAUCUGGGAAGAAAUGUAUUUAUUCUUAAGUAUUUGACGGUACCAGAGGAAUAAGCACCGGCUAACUCCGUGCCAGCAGCCGCGGUAAUACGGAGGGUGCAAGCGUUAUCCGGAUUCACUGGGUUUAAAGGGUGCGUAGGCGGAUUUGUAAGUCCGUGGUGAAAUCUCCGAGCUUAACUCGGAAACUGCCAUGGAUACUAUAGGUCUUGAAUGUUGUGGAGGUCAGCGGAAUAUGUCAUGUAGCGGUGAAAUGCUUAGAUAUGACAUAGAACACCUAUUGCGAAGGCAGCUGGCUACGCAAAUAUUGACGCUGAGGC